GCCAGCAGCCAUGUCACCCUGCAACUUACAAUUGGCAACCCACUGAAGCUAAGCGGAUGUGAGCCUGGUCAGUACCUGGAUGGGAGACCUCCUGGGAAAAACAAAGGUUGCUGCUGGAA
This 119-nucleotide ribosomal RNA is filed under the name Lepisosteus oculatus (spotted gar). The record is from RNAcentral. Lineage: Eukaryota; Metazoa; Chordata; Actinopteri; Semionotiformes; Lepisosteidae.